GAUGAAGAACGUAGCGAAAUGCGAUAAGUAAUGUGAAUUGCAGAAUUCAGUGAAUCAUCGAAUCUUUGAACGCACAUUGCGCCCCUUGGUAUUCCGAGGGGCAUGCCUGUUCGAGCGUCAUUAUAACCCUCAAGCUCAGCUUGGUGUUGGGGCCUGCUGCACUGGCAGCCCUUAAAAUCAGUGGCGGCGCCAUCUGGCUCUAAGCGUAGUAAUUCUUCUCGCUAUGGAGUCCUGGUGGAUGCUUGCCAUCAACCCCCAAUUUUUCUAUGGUUGACCUCGGAUCAGGUAGGGAUACCCGCUGAACUUAAGCAUAUCAAUAAGCGGAGGA
This 328-nucleotide unclassified non-coding RNA is filed under the name soil metagenome. RNAcentral describes it as "partial contains 5.8S ribosomal RNA, internal transcribed spacer 2, and large subunit ribosomal RNA". The stretch from base 1 to 120 matches the Rfam family "5.8S ribosomal RNA", at positions 35 to 154 of the family's 154-position model. The record is from RNAcentral.